RNAcentral lists this ribosomal RNA (1410 nucleotides) under uncultured Bordetella sp. RNAcentral describes it as "partial 16S-23S ribosomal RNA intergenic spacer". It matches the Rfam family "Bacterial small subunit ribosomal RNA". Lineage: Bacteria; Pseudomonadati; Pseudomonadota; Betaproteobacteria; Burkholderiales; Alcaligenaceae. The record is from RNAcentral.
AGUCGAACGGCAGCACGGACUUCGGUCUGCGGCGAGUGGCGAACGGGUGAGUAAUGUAUCGGAACGUGCCUAGUAGCGGGGAUAACUACGCGUGAAAGCGUAGCUAAUACCGCAUACGGCCCUUCGGGGGGAAAGCGGGGGACCUUCGGGCCUCGCACUAUUAGAGCGGCCGGAUAUCGGAUUAUUAGCUAGUUGGUGGGGUAACGGCUCACCAAGGCGACGAUCCGUAGCUGGUUUGAGAGGACGACCAGCCACACUGGGACUGGAGACACGGCCCACUCCUACGGAGGCAGCAGUGGGGAAUUUGGACAAUGGGGGAAACCCUGAUCCAGCCAUCCCGCGUGUGCGAUGAAGGUUUCGGGUUGUAAAGCACUUUUGGCAGGAAAGAAACGGCACGGGAUAAUACCCCGUGCAACUGACGGUACCUGCAACAAGCACCGCUAACUACGCCAGCAGCCGCGGUAACAUGAAAAAGCGUUAAUCGGAAUUACUGGGCGUAAAGCGUGCGGCGGUUCGGAAAGAAAGAUGAAAUCCCAGAGCUUAACUUUGAACUGCAUUUUUAACUACCGAGCUAGAGUGUGUCAGAGGGAGGUGGAAUUCCGCGUGUAGCAGUGAAAUGCGUAGAUGUGCGGAGGAACACCGAUGGCGAAGGCAGCCUCCUGGGAUAACACUGACGCCUGGUGCACGAAAGCGUGGGGAGCAAACAGGAUUAGAUACUCCUGGUAGUCCACGCCCAAACGAUGUCAACUAGCUGUUGGGGCCCGCCUUGUAGCGCAGCUAACGCAGGAAGUUGACCGCCUGGGAGUACGAGCCGCAAGAUUAAAACUCAAAGGAAUUGACGGGGACCCGCACAAGCGGAUGAUGUGGAUUAAUUCGAUGCAACGCGAAAAACUCAUCGCACUUUGAUAUGUCCGGAAUCCUGAAGAGAUUUGGGAGUGCUCGCAAGAGAACCGGAACACAGGUGCUGCACAUGGCUGUCGUCAGCUCGUGUCGUGAGAUGUUGGGUUAAGUCCCGCAACGAGCGCAACCCUUGUCAUUAGUUGCUACGAAAGGGCACUCUAAUGAGACUGCCGGUGACAAACCGAGGAAGGUGGGGAUGACGUCAAGUCCUCAUGGCCCUUAUGGGUAGGGCUUCACACGUCAUACAAUGGUCGGGACAGAGGGUCGCCAACCCCGCGAGGGGGAGCCAACUCGAAACCCGAUCGUAGUCCGAUCGCAGUCUGCAACUCGACUGCGUGAAGUCGGAACGCUAGUAAUCGCGGAUCAGCAUGUCGCGGUGAAUAUGCCCGGGUCUUGUACACACCGCCCGUCACACCAUGGGAGGUUUCACCAGAAGUAGUUAGCCUAACCGUAAGGAGUGGCGAUUACCACGGUAGGAUUCAUGACUGGGGUGAAGUCGUACCGCAGAGU